CAAAAAACGUGCUCCUUGGACCCAAGGGCAUCUAGACUCAAGUGAUUCCUCUUGGGUUUGUUGUUGCCUGGACACCAAGACCUUCAUCAGCCCUGUGAAGACGUGGGAGUGGUGGAUCAGCCAUGAAGAUCCUGUACCUGCUCUUCCCCUUGCUCCUCCUUCUGGUCCAGGGUGCUUCAGCUGGAUGCAGACGGCGAGGGGGAUACUGCACUUAUGGAAGAUGCAACUUCCCUGCGAGACCUAUUGGAAGAUGUACCCUGUAUAGUGUGUGCUGCAAAA
Molecule: long non-coding RNA, 279 nt
Organism: Corapipo altera (White-ruffed manakin)
Lineage: Eukaryota; Metazoa; Chordata; Aves; Passeriformes; Pipridae
Exons: 3
Source: RefSeq, a predicted model, not a curated record